GUGGUAGGCUGGGGGAGCCGAUGGCAUCGGCUGAGAGGAGACUGAACUAUGUCUCGACUCCUGGAACCUGCUCCAGAUAAUUCUGGCGAAGGAAAGUCAAGAUUUAUUUUC
RNAcentral lists this non-coding RNA (111 nucleotides) under Desulfobacteraceae bacterium. RNAcentral's name for it is "TPP sequence". It matches the Rfam family "TPP riboswitch aptamer (THI element)". From Rfam's summary of the family: Vitamin B(1) in its active form thiamin pyrophosphate (TPP) is an essential coenzyme that is synthesised by coupling of pyrimidine and thiazole moieties in bacteria. The previously detected thiamin-regulatory element, thi box was extended, resulting in a new, highly conserved RNA secondary structure, the THI element, which is widely distributed in eubacteria and also occurs in some archaea. Lineage: Bacteria; Pseudomonadati; Thermodesulfobacteriota; Desulfobacteria; Desulfobacterales; Desulfobacteraceae. The record is from RNAcentral.